AGUGAACGCUGGCGGUAGGCCUAACACAUGCAAGUCGAACGGCAGCACAGUAAGAGCUUGCUCUUACGGGUGGCGAGUGGCGGACGGGUGAGGAGUACAUCGGAAUCUACUUUUUCGUGGGGGAUAACGUAGGGAAACUUACGCUAAUACCGCAUACGACCUACGGGUGAAAGCAGGGGAUCUUCGGACCUUGCGCGAUUGAAUGAGCCGAUGUCGGAUUAGCUAGUUGGCGGGGUAAAGGCCCACCAAGGCGACGAUCCGUAGCUGGUCUGAGAGGAUGAUCAGCCACACUGGAACUGAGACACGGUCCAGACUCCUACGGGAGGCAGCAGUGGGGAAUAUUGAACAAUGGGCGCAAGCCUGAUCCAGCCAUACCGCGUGGGUGAAGAAGGCCUUCGGGUUGUAAAGCCCUUUUGUUGGGAAAGAAAAGCAGCAGGUUAAUACCCCGCUGUUCUGACGGUACCCAAAGAAUAAGCACCGGCUAACUUCGUG
RNAcentral lists this ribosomal RNA (492 nucleotides) under uncultured bacterium. RNAcentral describes it as "partial 16S ribosomal RNA". It matches the Rfam family "Bacterial small subunit ribosomal RNA", at positions 29 to 507 of the family's 1533-position model. The record is from RNAcentral.